Molecule: unclassified non-coding RNA, 202 nt
Filed under: Hevea brasiliensis (rubber tree)
Lineage: Eukaryota; Viridiplantae; Streptophyta; Magnoliopsida; Malpighiales; Euphorbiaceae
Source: RNAcentral
AAGAAAACUGGAUUGAAAGCAGGGAAAAACAGAGCAUGCAUGUGGACUUCUGUUCUAGUAGAACAGCCACUUUUUUUUUUUAAUUAAUUUUCAAACUCCAGCAGUCUUAAAUCACAUGAGACAGUCUGUUUUGACUUCCAAGCAGCCGCAGGAAUUGAUUUUAUUUAUUUUAGGGAUUCUUCUCAUAGUUAUUAGAGGCGCG